RNAcentral lists this ribosomal RNA (497 nucleotides) under uncultured bacterium. RNAcentral describes it as "partial 16S ribosomal RNA". It matches the Rfam family "Bacterial small subunit ribosomal RNA", at positions 28 to 507 of the family's 1533-position model. The record is from RNAcentral.
GAUGAACGCUGGCGGCGUGCCUAAUACAUGCAAGUCGAGCGAACAGACGAGGAGCUUGCUCCUCUGACGUUAGCGGCGGACGGGUGAGUAACACGUGGAUAACCUACCUAUAAUACUGGGAUAACUUCGGGAAACCGGAGCUAAUACCGGAUAAUAUAUUGAACCGCAUGGUUCAAUAGUGAAAGACGGUUUUGCUGUCACUUAUAGAUGGAUCCGCGCCGCAUUAGCUAGUUGGUAAGGUAACGGCUUACCAAGGCAACGAUGCGUAGCCGACCUGAGAGGGUGAUCGGCCACACUGGAACUGAGACACGGUCCAGACUCCUACGGGAGGCAGCAGUAGGGAAUCUUCCGCAAUGGGCGAAAGCCUGACGGAGCAACGCCGCGUGAGUGAUGAAGGUCUUCGGAUCGUAAAACUCUGUUAUUAGGGAAGAACAAAUGUGUAAGUAACUAUGCACGUCUUGACGGUACCUAAUCGGAAAGCCACGGCUAACUACGUG